CUACACAAUAUUUUAAUACUAUUGACUAUAUUAUUGUAAUAUAUUUAAUGAUAAUAUUUUAAACGUUUUUACAAAAAUAAUUAUCGGAGCAAGUAAUUGAAAUCUACAGUCCAUAAUUGAAACCAAAUGUAAUAAAAAUGACUAUUAUUGUAGUGUAAGUACAAAAUAUAUAAAAAUUAACAAAUGAAGCCAAAAAUAUCAGUAAUAAAGCUAUGACCAUAGCAAAUCAUAUAAUCCGAUGGUCAUCAUAACCGCACUCUUUUAUACAGUUUCCUCAAAAUUAUACCGUUCAAUACCGCACACAUUUUACUUUGUGUCCUAUCAUGCGUGGUUCACCCAACAAAUCAAAGGUUAUUUUCGAUUAAAAUUAUCCGAGUAAACACAGCGAGCGAGUGACCACAUUGGGUCUCUAAUUUCACCUGUAAUGCUUCUCACUUCCAAGCAAAUGUGUGCGGUUUUGAAUUAUGGAUCUUUCAAAUUUCCAUUUUUAAUAUUAGACAAAAUGCAUGCGGUUAUGAACGGUAAGUGUGCCGUUUUCAACGACGCCCAUGUACUCGUAUAGCCUACGCCGGAUGCCGGUUAUAGAUAACAAAAAUUCUUGAUAAUAAUCAUAUGGAAAAUUUCUUAAAUGCUAUAGAAUAUAAUAUUAUACGUUUUAAAUAAAUACAUUUUUUUUUAUAGGUACCUAUAUAUUUUUUUACACUCGUAAAUAUAUAUAAGUGUCUUCUAAGUUUUAAGUGACU
Cinara cedri is the source of this 743-nucleotide non-coding RNA. The record is from the annotation of a GenBank genome assembly. NCBI's taxonomy places the organism in Eukaryota, Metazoa, Arthropoda, Insecta, Hemiptera, Aphididae.